Long non-coding RNA from Bufo bufo (common toad), 149 nucleotides. RefSeq lists it as uncharacterized. The transcript is spliced from 3 exons. The record is from RefSeq and is a predicted model, not a curated record. NCBI's taxonomy places the organism in Eukaryota, Metazoa, Chordata, Amphibia, Anura, Bufonidae.
UGUGCCAGUCACUUCACUGGUAGCCCGUCCACCACAGAAUACAGUUCAAACUUCUCACCCACAAAGCUCUCCACAGUGCUGCACCUCCAUACAUCUCCUCCCUCAUUUCCGUCUACAACCCUACUCAUGCUCUCUACAGUGCUGCACCU